GCCUCUCUUCUUUCUUGUAAAACAUCCAAAUUACCCCUUAAUCCCUCAUCAUUCAAACUUACAUCCUCCAACCUUCUCCUCAAGGUUACUUCUCCCACCUCGACAGGUACCAUGGCGUCCGUCCCAUAAGUUAAAUUGAACGGUGACUCCCCUGUCGCACCAUGUGGCGAACAACGAUAACCCCACAAAACCUGAGGUAACUCGUCCACCCA
RNAcentral lists this long non-coding RNA (212 nucleotides) under Vigna radiata. Its description in RNAcentral is "long non-coding RNA (VRAD_LNC013043)". The record is from RNAcentral. Lineage: Eukaryota; Viridiplantae; Streptophyta; Magnoliopsida; Fabales; Fabaceae.